This is a long non-coding RNA of Oenanthe melanoleuca, 275 nucleotides long. RefSeq lists it as uncharacterized. The transcript is spliced from 3 exons. Lineage: Eukaryota; Metazoa; Chordata; Aves; Passeriformes; Muscicapidae. The record is from RefSeq and is a predicted model, not a curated record.
UUUUUUUCCACUGGCUGUGUGAAGUUUGAAAUAUCCAUGACACUAUGGCUAUUCAUGACAGCAUUUUCUUUUCCUACUUGUUAUGGCCAGAGCUCGUGGCUGCCAAAGUGUCAGAAUACAAAUUUCUCAAGAUACUCAGCCUGGAAGUGGCCCUGCACCUAUCCUGGACAGAAUUUAUAUAUCAUUUGUAAAUCUGUUGGCACUAUUGCAGAGGAAGACUAAUGUUAUGUGUUUAUCUGAUAAAAAACAACAUGAAGUUCCCAGCAACUACCAAG